UACGUAGGGGGCUAGCGUUGUCCGGAAUCAUUGGGCGUAAAGAGCGUGUAGGCGGUCCGGUAAGUCCGUUGUGAAAGUCAAGGGCUCAACCCUGGAAUGCCGGUGGAUACUGUCGGGCUCGAGUCCGGAAGAGGCGAGUGGAAUUCCCGGUGUAGCGGUGAAAUGCGUAGAUAUCGAGAGGAACACCUGAGGUGAAGACGGGUUGCUGGGACGACACUGACGGUGAGUGCGCGAAAGCCAGGGGAGCAAACGGG
This 254-nucleotide ribosomal RNA is filed under the name uncultured bacterium. RNAcentral's name for it is "partial 16S ribosomal RNA". It matches the Rfam family "Bacterial small subunit ribosomal RNA", at positions 524 to 776 of the family's 1533-position model. The record is from RNAcentral.